GACAACUUGAUUCGUGGGGGGUGCAUUUUGCAGGUGAUAUGGAAAGCUAGUGCAGUGGAAGCUUCCUGGAAUGUGGAGAUUAUUCUAAUGAAGAUUAGGGUAUGUAUAUGUAGUAGUAAUGGGUUGGCUGUAUAGAAUCUUAACUAGCUGGCCAUCUCUUGUUACCAAAUGCAGCUUCCAGUGGUGGAAUGGGGUUACAUUCAAAUGAGUUGUUAGCCAAAAGAAUCCCAUAAAGAUUUCCAAAUGGCCCAGGCUGUUGCUAAGAAACAGGGUUGCUCUCUGCAAAUUGACUGAGGGGCCUCACUGCCCCAGGACAAUGCCUGCACAACUCAUUGAAUAUGGAGAAGUUAAACUGGUGCCUACAGUUCAGUCUCUUUGCUGUGGGAAGGUACCUGGCAGAUAUUCUUACUGGUUGUGUGUCAAUCUGACACACCAGCUAGAGUCAAAAGAGAGGAAGGAGUCUCUGUUGAGGAAAUGCCUCCAUGAUUCCCAGCUGUAAGGCAUUUUCUCAUUAGUGAUCAAUGGAGGGGACCCAGCCCAUUAUGGGGGGUGCCAUCGGGCUAAUAGUCUUGGGUUCUAUAAGAAAGCAGACUGAGCAAGCCAUGGAAAGCAAGCCAGUAAGAAGUACCCCUCCAUGGCCUCUGCAGCAGCUCCUGCUUCUAGAUUUCUGCCCAAUUGGAGUUCCUGUCCUGACUUCCUUUGGUGAUGAACAGCAAUAUGGAAGUGUAAGCUGAAUAAACCCUUUCCUCCCCAACUGCUUUUGGUCAGUGUUUCAGCACAGCAAUAAAAAUCUUAACUGAGAUAGAAGGGCAUUGAAAGAGGAACACAGACACCAACUCAGCCACAAAAUGUUGACCUGUAAUCUGUCCUGACUGAAAAAUAUGUUAAGGCAAUUGUGACACAGACUGUCUGGGAGUAACCAACCAAUAUUUGAUUUGGCUUAUGGCCCACUCCAUGAGACAGAACCAUGCCAGACACUGCUUGAGUGAUCAAGAAGCUGAGACUAGAUAUCCCCGAUGAAAUGACUCCUAAUGAUAUUCUGCCAUAGUCAUCAUCAGAGAGGCUUCCCCCGACAGUAGAUGGAAACAGAUGCAGAGAUCCACCAUAGUCAGAAGUAAUUCCGAGAGAAAGUGUUAAUGGGAGAGUUCCAUCAGAUAGAGCUGGACAAACUCCUGAGUGAGGUAACCGAGACCUAGAAGGUGAAUAUGGUAUCCAGUGGAAGAGGAGGUGGAAACCUUGAAAGAGUCAGAGAAGGUAGAGGACUUUAGGACAACUAAGCAAGGCACAUGAGCUCACAGAGACUGCAGCAGCAAGCAGUGGCCUACACGGGUCUGCACCAGGUCCUUCCUUAUCUACUACAGCUAUUAACAGUAUUUUUAUGGGAUUACUGACUGUGAGAAUGAAUGGGCCUCUGACUCUGUGCCUGCCCUCAGGACUCUUCUGUUGGGUUGCCUCGUCCAACUUCAAUAUUAUAGUUUUUGCUUCACCUUACAUUUUAUUUGGGCAUGUUUGAUUGUUAUCCCUCAGAAUCCUGUUCUGUGUGGACACUGUCCUCGGCAAUGGGACCAUCCCACUGUCAGUGUGCAGAGAAUGACCCUGAGUCUAAACCACCAAAAGGGAGUGGAUCUGAAAGAGAGGGCAGUUGGGGAGGAGGAAUAGAAGGAGGGGGAACUAUAAUUAGGAUAUAUUGUAUGAGAAAAGUAUCUAUUUUUCAGCAAAAAGAAUUAAAGGGCUACAAAAAAGGUGGGUUUUUUUAAUUAACAAGAUUUAUUUCCAAUUAAUUUUGUGCUCCUUCCCUAACACCAAAUUCAUGUUGAAACAUUCUUCUCAAUAUGACAGUGGUAGGAACUGAGGCUUUUGAUAAGCAGCUAGGUCAUGAGAGCAGAGCUUUCUCACUGCCCGUGUGCCUUCUUAGGUAAGUAUGUAACCUGGAUGAUCCUUACCCUGGCGUUGGGCUUCAGUCUACAAAGCCUUCAGAACUGUUCUGUCCGCUCACAAAGACAGAUCAUCUAAGCAGGGCCUUAGUGAUCAAAAGCGGAGAAAUACUGAAUGAAAACCAGAUCCAACAUGUUUGCUGUGCUGCAGGGUCCCUCGGAGCCUGGGUAGGACUCAAGUGCUGCGUUGUUUCUGACAAGAAGAGAGAGCUCAAGGGAGAGCGAACUAGGAGCAGUUCCUGUCAUCACCUGAUAACAAAAGCAGACACUUCCUGCAAUGCCUCCGUGGGAAAUCGGAGGCCGGAAGUCACAUCUGGCCACAGAUGAAGAUGUAGAACUCUCAGCUCCUCCUGCACCAUGCCUGCCGGGAUGCUGCCAUGCUCCAGCCUUGAUGAUAAUGAACUGAACCUUUGAACCUGUAAGCCAGCCCCAAUUAAAUGUUGUCCUUUAUAAAACUUACAUUGGUCAUGGUGUCUGUUCACAGCAAUAAAACCCUAACUAAGACAUAUGUAUAUAUGUAUAUGUGUAUGUAUGUAUAUGUGUGUAUGUGUAUGUGUAUAUGUGUAUGUGUGUAUAUGUGAUAUAUGUAUAUGUGUAUAUGUAUAUAUGUAUAUAUAAAAUAUACAUUUGUAUUUCUUCUUUACAUAUAAGUGCAUAUAAGCAUGCAUAUAUCUAUUUAAAUUACAUUCCACGCACAAAAGAAAAUUCAUUAUUUUUCUUACAUUUACUACUGUGUUUUGUCUUUAGAAAACUGCUCAACUUAUUUGCCCAUUUAUUGAUUGAAUGAUUUGGUGUUUGGGGUAUUUAAUUUCUUCAGUAAUUUAUGGGUUGGAUAUAGUGAUUUCAGUAUAGAGAUAUUUUAUCUUUAGAUUUAUUGCUAGGCUUUAUUUAAUUUUCAAAGGGAUUUUUCCCCCAUCUGAUUUCUUUCUAAAGUGUUUGUUACUGAUAUAUGGAACAUAGGCUAUCAGUAAAUCUUCGUGGAAGUGUAUUCCCUAGAUCUCAAGUUGGGGCAGAAGGAUGUUUUAAAUUGUGAUUUGUAAAGUUACUUACUCCUUAUGAGAGUUAUCUUUACGAAAUAAUAAGAAAAUAUCAAUCAUUGAUGUCGCCACAAGACUCCCCCACUCUGUCCACACUGCAGAUCCAACCACAGGGCCAUUCUCCGUACAUCUUUCCACUGCUUGUAGACAGAAGAACACUUCACAUCUCCUCUGUGAACCAGGCUGUUCCACACUUUUUAAAAUUAUUUAUCUUAUGUAUCUGAGUACAGUGUCGCUGUCUUCAGACACACCAGAAGGGGGCAUUGGGCAUUGGAUCACAUUUCAGAUGGUUGUGAGUCACCAUGUGGUUGCUGGGAAUUGAACUCAGGACCUCUGGAAGAGCAAUUGGUGCUCUCAACCGCUGAGCCAUCUCCCCAGUCCAUGUUCUUUUUAAAGAUUUUUUUUAUUCAUAUAAAUGGGUGAAAUUGUAAGAUUCCCCUCCCCCUUAAAGCAGUGGUUUUCACACCUGAAAAUUAUGCCCAACAAUGGAGAGUGUGAGCCUGUCUCUAAUUCAGAGGCUCUCCUUGGUGACCCGACAUUCAAAUCUCCCGUGCCCUUGGUAACUGGCAAAUUGUUAAGGAUGGUGGCCUCCAUCUACUUCUAGGUUCAAGGUUUUUAUUCUCCUCUCUCUCUCUCUCUCUCUCUCUCUCUCUCUCUCUCUCUCUCUCUCUCUCUGUGUGUGUGUGUGUGUGUACCAAUUAUUAUAAAUACAGUGGGGGAGUAUGGUGUGGGAGAUUUCCAUAUUUGGACUGCAUUAGUCUGGAUUGCUUUUUUAAAGUACAGUUCAGUUGGUUUAAUGACGACCUUUCUCCAAGUAGGUCUGUACACGUGUGUUUAUCUCCAUUCCACAGCAAAGUCCAGACUCCAGACCCUUAAAAUUUCUACCCCAUGGGAAAGUUUUCAUUUUCCUUGCUCUUCAAAUGUCUGUUCAAUUAUUUCCUUAAGUCUUUAACUUUUUUUCCUCUCACUUGGGGAGGCUGCCGAGUCUGGCAGCUGAGUGCCUGUGUGUUCCUAAGUGCUCUGAGGUUCAACAGGGAACUUCUACCAAAACAAUUUAUCCUACACAUUUUUUUUUUACCGAAGCAUGAGUAUCUUAGCCAGCAGGGAGCUGGUGAGCCAUGAACCAUUCUGCUGUAGAGAUGACCACCCUGACGAAGACUUGCAGUUCAUUAGCUCUUGAAAGCCAAUAGGAGCCAGCUUCAGUCCCUAGUGAAGCGAGCCUUCUAGGCCACUGUUUCCAACAUUUGAAUGAGAAUCUUUAUCACUAAUGAAAAAGCACAGAGGUUCAUUCAGAAUCUCUUGGCCUGGGGGCCCAUUAUAACACUGUAUUUGUUACCUUUUGUUGUGGUGAUAAAUAUGGCUACCAAGAGCGACUUAUAGAAGAAACAGUUUUAUUUCCACUUUGGUUGUGGUAGGGUUAGACGGUCAUGGCAGUGGGUGACUAGAGCAGGAUGCUGAGAGGUCACAUUUCAACUGCAACAGAGUAGAGUAGAAGUUGGGAGAGGGCUCAGCUCCUCAAAUCCCUCCUUCAGAUAUUUGUUUCCUCCAGCAAGGCGCCAACACUUAAAACUCCUCAGACCACAAUGCCCGCUGAACAUCAGAGUUCAAAUGCUUGCACCUGUGGGGAGAGACGCCUAUGGGUUUCUUAUUAAAACCACCACAGGUGUAUAUCUACAUGUUUAACAGUUUCCCAGGUUGUUCCGUGUUGUCAUUCCUUGUAGGCUCCACCCAACAAUUACCUGGCAAUAGUCAGGUAGGCCUGGCUUGCUAUGAAAGAGAGACUGUUUGGCUCCUUUUCGCUCUCCUGCCCCUUUUCUCUCUCUGCCCCCUCCCCCCUCUCUCCACAUGUUCUGGCCAGCCUCCUUUCUCUCUGUCUCUGUCUCUGUCUCUGUCUCUCUGUCUCUCUGUCUCUCUGUCUCUCUCUCUCUCUCUCUCUCUCUCUCUCUCUCUCUCUCUCUCUCUCUCUCUCUCUCUCCUCUUCUCUGUCCCCUUUCUUUCUUUGCCUCUAUUCCCUUCUCAACUCCCUUUCCCAUGUCCCAAGCAAACUCCGUUCUAUACUACACCUGUCGUAUGACUGGUACCUGAGAGGGAAGGGAUGUCUCAGCAUGGGCCCACUGAGGUGCCCCCUCCCACCUCACCAUACUGAACUCUAUAAAGCAUGUCCAUGGCUUUUUUAAAAACACAACAUUUGGCACUGAGACUUGGAUUUAGAAACUCACAGGUUCAUUUCUUCUGCCACCACAUGGACUUUCCUGCCAUUGGAUCACUAGAACUCCAUCCGAACACUGGCAAAUUGGUAAACUUCCUCUACCACUGGUCAGCAUAAAUGACCCCAGUCUCGAGGAAGGGCUGCUGAGUUCUCAACCACCCUCUGGUGUCCUAGAGGAUGGAAGUCUUCACAGUUACGACUGGCCUUUUUGCUGACCCUUUAUUCUAGGACAUCUUCCCUUAAGUGAGGCCUUUCUCUUUUCCUCGAGACAGUUUCUUUCUUGUUGCUGGGAAAUCCUAGACCUAGAUAAACCAUUCUCCCUCCUCCUCUCGGACACUGGCCCAGAGCUCAGCCCCCACUUCAUUAAAUGACAACCUGGUGAUAUGACUUGGCUGUCUGUUUCUUGUUAUUAAUUUAUCCUCCAGAUACCAAUAGGGAUAAUAUUAAUAACUUCUAUUCUCACCCAAAAAGAAAAUGUCUUUGCCACUACUUCUACGCUCCCUACUGUGAUGUCUUAAAGGCUUCUGAAUUCACAUGCUAAAUUUGGCCCUAAUGCCCACUAGGUAGUAACUCUGAAUGGCCACUUAAUGGAGUGUAAUGGUUUGUAUAAGCCUGGCCCAGAGAGUGACACUAUUUGGAGAUGUGGCUUUGUUGGAGCAGGUAUAGCCUUCUCAGAGUAGGUGUGCCAUGUGGGCGUGGGCUUUAACACCCUGCUUCUAGCUGUCUGCAACUGAGUCUUCCACUAGCAGCCUUCAGAUGAAGACACAGAACUCACCUCUGCCUGCACCAUGCCUGCCUGGAUGCUGCCAUGCUCCUGCCUUGAUGAUACUGGACUGAACCUCUGAACCAGUAAGCCAGCACAAAUUAAAUGCUGUCCUUAUAAGAGUUGUGUUGGUCAUGGUGUCUGUCCACAGCAGUAAAACCCUAAGACAUGAAGCUUAAAAAAAAACAAAAAACUUUUUACGACUUGCACCCAGCAAUCUGAAAAAUAGAAAGAUUUUUAUGUAGGCUUUCUCCCACCUUUUCCCCCAACCGCUUUAUUCCUCUGCUCCCUGCUCCUGACUCCCUGUCUUUUUGCCUUUUAACAGUGCUCUCCAGAUCUUGUUUCCGACUAAACAUGCUCGGCCUCCAUGCUCCUGUGCGCCGCCCACCUGUGCAGGUGCCAACUGUUUGCUCCAGCAGGCAGUCGUGAGUUUCUAUUUCUGGGAAACUUUUAUCUCUAAUCUAUGAUUCCCUUCCACUCUGGUCUGCCAGCUCUAAGCCAGGUGCGGCAGGAGAAGGGAUCCCUAAGCGCAGCACAGACAGAGCACCUGAGGCGCUCUGUGUACAGCUUAGACCCAGUGCUCCAUGCACAGUGACAGAGGCUGCCUGAGGUGCCAGGGAAAGACCUCCUUCCUGUCUAACAGACAAAACAUGUCUACUCGUCUCGGCUGAUGCAUAACAACACUUCUGCUGUUCCAUUCUAAGGUAUAACGUGAUUUCCUCCAUAUGUGAUGCGAUCACUUCAGCGCCAUCUUUGGUAAGGGCGGUCCCUUGGCUGGCUGUAGCUUCAGCACCAUCUUGGUUGAAGGCAGUCUCAAGGCUAUCUGCCAUCUUAAUUGUGGCAGUUCCCACUUCACUGCCUUCUUACUUUAGAACAGCCUGACUUAAGUUCUCUAAAGACACUUUUAAGGUAUGGUUUUCAUAUGAUUUCUAUCCUGCCUUGGUAAACAAUUUUAAUAUUAAAGAUUUACAAUGAUUAAAAAGGUUAAAAACACUGCCUUAAACAUAUGUUUGGCCUUGUUUUUGCUACUGUGUUUAUGUUGCAAUGUACUCUUUUUAUUUGCUAGAUAAAUUCUAGAACAAAUAAUUAAACAAAUGCAUAUUGUCUAACUCAGAUAUACUUAAUGGAUGUCAAUCUUGUUAGAAGUCUGCUAAAUGUAAUGUUAAAUGUUUUAGCUUAUGACUGAUGGAGACCCCAAAUCCUAACCCUGACCCAUGCAAGGUCUCUGAGAAGAUAUGGGCAUAGUGACAAGAUUCUUCCUGAAUUGUGGUGUGAUAACCACUGAGAAACACUGCUCCAUUGCCUUGCCUGCUGCCAGGGCUUGUCCUACAAUGUGGACAAACAGAGGAUACAGAGAGUUAAAUGUCUCAGAUUGCCUAAGACAAGGUAAGUCGUUCCUCCCAAGUUCUUAACUCCACAGGAAAAAAAGCCUCUCAUCUCCUGGGCCUGAGAGCCAGACUAACUCUGACCAAGUUACAGUGGAGAUCACAGGGCCCUGGGAGAACUGUUUUAAGUAGUGGACUAUAGACCAACCCCCGUCAUAUUAAUUGAUAUAUGGUAUCUAGAUAAUUUAUUCUUCACAGUUUUCUGAUUACAUUGACAGCUAAGCUAACUUAACUGAUAGCUUGACAGCUCAAAAACAGACCUAGCUCCUUACCCCAAGGUAACCCACCAUCAUAUUAGCUCAUCGAUCAAUUUGUUAACGAGUCAAGACCUUCAGAUCUCUUCUCAGAGACAGACAGGUUCGCCUUGCUCACAGGCUUCACGAUAAAGAAUUGUACUAGUUCAAAUGUAACCUUUCACAGAUGUAACCUGCUACCUCCCUAUCUGAACUCAGUCUCCAGUGGCUAAAUGCUUGUUGUGCCGAAGUCCUAACAUUAACUAAAAUAGUUCUUAUAAAUUAAUUUAGCUCUAUAAAACAUUCCACUGAAAGAUCCAACUUUGAUAAUCACAAGUUCAAAUUAUAAGCUUCCCUCAAUUGUUUCCUAACUCUAGACUCAAAGUGUUUCUCCUGCUAAAUCUAUACUCUUGGCUCUCAUAGUUACAAAUAUAAGUUCCCUUUGGUUGCCUUUUAAGACUUAAGGUGUUUUUCAUGCUAAACUAUAUGAUCAACUAUCAUAUUCACAAGGUUGAUUUUUCUAGAGUCCUUUGUCUUUUAAAUAUAAGCUUAAAAUACUUCUCAUUGUGAUAUAUAUAUAUAUACAUAUAUAUACAUAUAUAUAUAUAUAUUUAUAGUCAGUAUCCUAGAUAGAAGGAAAAGCCCUUUUUGCUUCUUCUACUCCACAAAAUGUCUUUGUCUUCCUAAGCUCACCUUAAAGACUGUUCAUGUUGUUAACAAAUUUAUCUCUUUUGUGAAUUUAUAAGCUACAGGAAAUCUACUCCAAUCUACUUCUCAUGGACCAAACAGACUCCAUCUGGAUCAGUACACUUGUCAAUAGCCUAAGCUUUUACUUGAUGCCUAUUCCAGAGGGUGGGAUUCCUCUCCUCUCCUGUUCCUGGGAUUGGGACCCACCUAACCCCAACCAUCAAGUCCUAAGGGUUUCAAAGGUACAUACGGAAAAGGUUUUCUCUCAAACCUACUUAACUUUAUUUUCAACCUCCAAUGUGUGUGUGUGAGUGUGAGUGUGAGUGUGUGCGCGUGCGUAUGUGUAUGUAUGUGUGUGUGCUUGUGUGUGUGUGUAUGUGUAUGUGUGUGUAUGUGUGUUUCAGCAUCUUGCCAAGUCAAGGCAUUUAUUUAACAGCUACAUCCAGGAGGACACCAGCAAAGCAGCCCACAGAUGCUCCAAUCUUCUCUCACAGACACAGAUGCUACUACUGGACCUGCUCUUUCCAACCCACAGAUGGUUCUACAGACCCUGGACAGCAAGAAAACAGCCAACUUUCAUAAGACUAAACCAACAUCCCCAUCCCCAUCCCCAUUUUCCUAGGUUUCCCAGAGACACGUCGCCCCAAAGUCAGCAAGUAACUAAAGAUCAUGAUGACACUGUUUCUGCUUCACCACCUCUUUCUAGUUUCUCCUUUUUAAAAAUUAAACCAAAAUGGAGGAAUGUUGGCUUUCCUUUUAUACUCUGCCCAAUAGUUACCUAGCAACAGCCAGGUAGGCUUCUUAUAAGAGUGACUAUUUGGCCUCUCUCUCCCUCCCCCCCCCCUCUCUCUCUGGCUCUCUCUGGCUCUCUCUCUCUCUGGUUCUCUCUCUCUCUUUCUGACCCCUUCCCCUUCUGUCCCCUUCCCCCUCCCCCCAUGUGUUCCUGGCCAGCCUUUUUUCUUCUCUACCCUCCCCCCUCUCUCCCCAGCCCCCUCUUUCUACCUCUAUUCCCUUCUAAACUCCCCUUCCCAUGUCCCCACUCUAUACUAUACUCAUCAUACGGCUGGUACCUCAGGGAUUAGGGAUGUCUCUGCACAAGCCUGCUGAGGUACCCCCCUCCCACAUCACCAUGCCAUGCUCUGUAGAACAUAUCCUUGGCUAUUUUAAAAACACAGAAUCCUGAUACUGUAGUUGGAACCCUCCCUCCUACAUUCACUUCUGCGCAAGUCCAUGCCACAUAUGUAGCAUGUCUAUUGCAGAUGAAAGACCCAAAAUACUUUUUAGCACUAGCAAACCCACUAAGCUGUCAUUAGAGUAAAUUUACUAAGAUGUAAUUAAAAUAGAUCCUAAUGUUCAAGAUGAAUAAUGAUCGUCGGAUUCGUGUUCUUAUAAGGAUCUAUAGUUAGCUCAUUACUUUUCAUUUUCCCGAAUGUAAAGUGUGCUACAGAAAGCCAAGAUUCAUAUAUUUUAGAAAUUAGAUAAAAUCUUCAUGUGGCACAGGGCUCCUCUUAGCAUUUCAACAAUAUUUACAUCGUGUUUUUCUACUACAGAAAUGUGCUAGCCAGCUUUCUCUGUUUACCCCAGCUUCCUGCAACAGGGCUGUGCCAUACAUUCACAGAGCACAGAGUGAGUGUAAUGGUUCGUUUGUGAACAAAAUAAAAAAACAAAACAAAAAAAAAAAUCAAGUCUAUAAAGUUUCUCUGAAAAUGGGUGAUUUUCAAGAAAGGGUUUUGUGUGAUUAGUUUGUUCCUCUGGUGAUGAAUGGACUCCACUGGGAAUGUUCUCACUGCUUAGGAUCUGGAGUCGUUUUAUUUUCUGAAGCUAUAUUCACCCCACCAAUAUCCACUCAGAAGUGCCCCCCCGCGGCAGUUUGUAAUUUAAUGGUGGUUUAAUAAUUAUCCCAUCAGCAAUCACACAGGAGCAUGUAAGUGUUUGAAACUGAGGCUAGUAUUGUUUUGAUGGCUGAGCGCUGCUUCGGCUUCCUGGAUGUGAGGCAGCAGAGGCAGCAGGUAAUCUGCACGCUGGUGACUAAUGUUGCGAGACACCAUAAAGGUUUCCCUGGUGGAUCAGAACACCUUUACAACGGAGGUGUCAUGGGAGCUGAGACAUAGAAAAAUAACCAAGACUCAAGGAGAAGAGCAGCCAGGGCCUUUUCAGGCCAAGGAGGGCAGUCUCCAGGCUUCAAAACAGUGAUUUAGACGCUGUCUAAACGGUAACGAGGCUGCACUUGUCUGCUACAGAAGGCUGGCGAAUAGCAUAGACCCUGCACAUAGCGUUAGAGAUGGGAAAGGCGAACAGCACACCAAAUCUGCUACUCACUCCUGAGGUGGUUCUAGAUAUUGAGACAGGUGAGAUCAGUGCAGACUGGGUGUUUACAGAAGUCUCUCUGGUUAAAGGCUCUCUGGCAAGCAAACCCAAUGUGAGAGACAGACGGGCAUGCGCAGAAUAGAGAAGAUGGGAAUGUGUGGAUGGUGCCAGGAAUGAGCCUUGGGAGGUAAAGUCAGUGUCCUGGCUCAGCUCUGAAUGGUCAAGCAUUUAAAGGAAAGGGGGAAAAAGCCUUAUCUUCUUAGGGUUUUAGUUUCUUUAACCAGAGAACAGAAGGGGAAAUUCUUGACUCAUUUGGCUGUGAAGACAAAUGAAGCGAUUUAUGUGUGUUAUGUGCGCGGUAGGAUCUUCCCUGCACAGGGGAUAUGAAUAGGAUUCUUUCAUAAUGAAUCCUUUCUAAGCAGCUCUGAGUUCAGCCUCAGAGUAUAUAUUUUGCCGGAUUUGAAUUUUUUUCACUAAGAUUAACAACCUCAGAACAGAAAGUCUGAUUCAAUGAUCCCGUUUGUAUUUUAAAAACAAGUUUUGUGUUAAUUCUUCUACUUUAUUGUAUUCUUAAGGUGUUUGUUGUUGUUGUUGGUUGGUUGGGGGUUUGUUUUUGAUUUUUUAACAUGUCUGCACAUGCAUCUGUACACAUGCAUGAAAGUGUCCAUGGAGACCAGAAUAGGAUGUUGGAUCCCCUGGACCAGAGUUAUGGGUGGAAUUCAGGUUCUGGGAACCAAACUCGGGUCCUUGCAAAAGCAAGACAGGGUCUUAAUCACUGAGCAAUCUCUUCAACGUUUAAUGAAAAUUUCUUAACAUCUGUUGUAGUUUAUAUUUUAAAACUUGGACUAGAAAGAUAGCACAGAGAUUAAUAGCACUUGCUACUCUUACAGGGGACCCAAGUUCAGUUCCCAGCACCCACAUCUGGCACCUCACAAUCACAUUAAAUCCGGCUCUCAAAGUUCCAACACCCUCUUCUGGCUUCCAUGAGCAUUGCAGCCACGUGCACUAUCACCACCCUCCAUAUAUAAACAGAAUUUAAAAAAAUGAAAUGAAUGAAAAUGGGCUAUGGGAUGUCAAAUUUCCAAACAGAUCAUUAUUAUAAAGAAUAUAUAAAAUAUAUGAUAUUUACAUGUAUGUUAAUUUGAAAAUUGCCAUAUUGAUUAUUAGUCUGAACGUUGUUUUAGAAAGCAUCUUUUUUAAAUGAAGACAAUGCUAUUUAUCUUAACGUAGCCCCAGAUGAGCUGGUUGGUGCAAGCACUUACGACUAAGAUAAAUAAGUCUGAUUCCAUUCCAAUCCUCCAACAAGGAUUCUCCUGGCCACUCUCCCUCCUUACAGCCCAGCCGUGUCUAUCAAAGUAACCUACAGGCAGCAGUAUUCAAAAGUUCUCUCUUUUGAUGUUUUAAAGAGGAAACAUAAGUUUUUUUAAAAAACACAAUUUUCUAUCAUUUUUUUCACAAAAAGAAUUUUCUGAAAUAGGUCCCAGUUUUGCUCUCCUUUGGACAGUCAUGAUCUUUCUCAUUUCUAACCUUCAAAAACUCUGUCUUGACUCUGGUUCUGAACUGUGGCUCAGUGAGACAAGCGGUUUGUUCUGGGACCUCCUGCCUCAGCCCUGGUAGGAGGCCUUGCAUUUAUUUCACAUUUUCCCACAUCUGUUUGGCACGGGAGGACCAAUAAAAGCUUGCUCUACAUUUCAUUACAUUUCUUGGUACAACCACCCACUUGGAUCUGGCAAAGCACACACUAUUAAAAAUUCCGCCACAGUGUGGGCUUUCCCACACAUCUGGAGUAAAUAUAACUUAAAGAAGUAAACACUUGGGCUUGAGAGAUGGCCCAGCGGUUAAAAGCACUUGCUGCUCUCCCAGAGGAUGUAGCUUCCCAGAUUCCAUGGGCAAUUCACGACUGUCUGGAACAGUAACCCCAUUGCACCUGGCACAACCUCCCCCCCCAGGACACAGAUGCUCACAGACACAAGUGCACACCCACAAUAAUAAAAUCUUCAAAAAGCUGUAAACACCAAUUGUAUUUCUAUUUGAAAAGAAAAGAGAAGGCAGCAUAUAGCUGUCAGUUUCUAUUUCAGAUUGCUCCAACUACGUCCAUAUACAGCUAAAGUCCUUUCUGUGCUUAGAGGAACUAUUUCCCAUGAAAGAAAACAGCAAAUUUCUUUUGGCUGCUCCAUAAAUGCAGUAAGAAUGAUGGCUUGCUGGGCUGAAGAGAUAGAUGGCUCAGCAGUUAAGAGCACUUGAUGGGUUCAGUUCCCAGAAUCCAAAGGGCACCUCACAACCAUCUAUAACUCCAGUUCCAGGGGAUCCGAUGGCCUCCUCUGACCUCCAUGGGCACCAGGCAUGCAUGUGAUACACAUACAUCGAUAUAGGGAGAGCACUCAUAUGCAUUAAAUUAAAGGUUGGUGUUUGCUGCUGCUGCUGUUGUUUUUAAGAAUGAUGGCUUGAGACAUCUAAUAUGUAUGCAAAAUAAAAAUGAGAGUAUUGGAAAUUCCAGCAUCAUAGGCUGUAAGAACAAACGUGCAUGGUAAAAUGCAAAGAGAAAUUAAUGUAACUAAUUUCCAUGCAACUUUAAAUGCAUCAAUUCUUUGGUUAGAUUCUGUUGUGGUUGCUUUGACUUGUGAGGAGCUGUGUUAUGGACAAGACAGAGCAUGGGAGAUGGGUGGCCAUUGCACUUCCUCCCAUGGAGUAGGAAUGGUGUGAGGCACCAGGAGGAGGGUGUGAGAGAGUCUGCUGCUGCUGCUGCUGCUUUGUUCCCUGAAGCUCGUUAUCAUGAGUUCCCUGUGCUGCCACAUUGCUAUGUCACAUGGAUGUCUUCAAGUGGGCAGUUGUAGCUGAUCCUGGUCUUUAUUGCCACCAUGUCAAGUCAUAGGUGAACACAGAGUAGUCCAUGCAGUCAGUGACACAUUCAGAGCUCACUCAGCCCGACGGUGGUAACCUUAAUCGCUUCUGAUACAAUCACAUAACUAAUAAGAACAAGUUGCUCUAUAUUUUGGGACUCUGACUCCAUGAAUCUCAAUGAGAAGUUAGCAACUCCUCACACUUCGUCUCAAGAUAAAACAUAAGAUAUAUGUCAGCGGCUAAAUUCACCCACUUAAAAGCCACAAGUUAGUUGUUGGGGUGUAUUCACAGAAGUUUCCAAAUUUUUUUAAUCAAUAUUCAACCUUGAGACCAUUUUGUUAAAAACAAACCAACAAACCAACAACAAUGCCCACCAUGUUAAGGGAUAGUCACUCAUAGUUUUCUCAAGCCCUAGUCUUAAAGCCAUCAUUAACACGCUGUCUCCAUAGGUUUGCCCACACCACACAUAUCUGAAGGGAAUUGUGAUAACUGGUCCUUUGAGAAUGGCUUCUUUCACUUAGUCAAAUGCUCUUUCCUGCUGCAGCAUUCGCCUGUGCUUUCUGAGUUCAGCAAUUUCUUUUUUCUCACACAGAUAGGAAGUAAAUAUUUUAUAUUAUGGGCUGUUUAGUCCCUCCGGCAGUUACAGUACUUAACAGGUCUGGUGCUAAUGCAGCCACAGACAGUACGGAGAAAGACGGCAGAAGCCAUAUUAAAACAAACAGACAAAACCUACACUUAUUUACAGAAUAAUGGGGAGAGGUAGCUAUGAUUCACAGCUCAGUUUGCUGACCCUGAUUUAUGCAUCUGAGGAGAGCCUGUUUUUUUAAUUUUUUUUUUAGAAAAGAACUUCAAGUCUUAAAUAAACUAUUGACCAUAUUUCUUUAUAAUUCAAAAUUUAAGCCAAAGCUGAAGGUUUUAUUAAAUUUCAAGAGUCAGCAGAGUAGGUAUAAAUCAAUGUAGAAUGUAGCAAAAAAUGUGCACCAGGGAACGUUAUUUCAGAGAUUCCUUUGAUCGGCUGAGCCACAAAUCUCAAGACUUAUUACACAUAAAAAUCAGCUAAAAUGGUGGGGAUCUAUCUCCUGCUGGGCUCCUUCUGCCAGAAUGUUUUUGUCAGGGGUUGUUCUCCCGCGGCUUUGGAAGUUUUAGAGAUGUUCUCUAGGACAAUUCCUUUGCAUGAAAGCAUUCUGUAGACUAUGUGUAGACCUAUCCUACUAAUGCCCCCAUCCAGAUGAGUCCUUUAUGAUCCCUACAACAUACAUACAUACAUACAUACAUACAUAUAUACAUACAUACACACAUCACAUACAUGCAGCAUAUAUAUACAUCACAUAUUAUACAUAUAUAUGGAAAAAUAUAUAGUGUAUAUUAUACACACACACACACACACACACACACGCACACGCACGCACACACAACUGAGUGAGGAAAGGUUUAUUUUGUCUCAGGGUCUGAGAGUACGACCAUGAAGGGAAGGCAUGGGAGCAGGAAGUGUGAGGAAGCUGAUUGUACCACAUCCACAGUCAGGAAGCUAAGCUGACUGCUGGGGCCAUGUUUGACUUUUCCUUUUAUUCGAACCAGGACUACAACCCAUUAGAACAGGGAGCUGCUCGUGCUCAGGGAGAGUCUUCCCUCUGCAGUUAAACACCUCUGGAAACAUCCUCACAAACACUUCCAGAGCUGUCUCCACAGGAUUCUAACGCCAGUCAUGCUGACGCACAGCCGUCCUCCUGGCUGAACCACUGAGGACUGGCCUUUGGACCUCUCUGCACCCAUGUUGUGUACUGUGUGGGAACAGAACACUCUGACCGUGCUCUGAGUCUGUGGUCACUGUCGGUGGCUGAGAGCUUCCGGAACAAGAAGAGCUUCUUUCUCACAUGGGAGUUAUUAGCAUCAGAGAGGGUCAAAACCUUAAUUAUCUCUUUACUGCUGAAAGAUCUCUCUAUAAUAGCCUCACAGGAGGGGAGCCAAAGCACAUCAUUUUGAUCUGCGAUGCUUUAUUAAUUCUUUCUUGCUACCUGGGUUAACUUGCUCUACUAAGUUUCAAGUGGCUUGAGGAUGGGAAAUAAUUUCCUUUGUACUCUCACCACCAUUGGUUAACACAUAAUUGUGUUUAGUGUGCUUUUGAAACUGCAUAAUCAUCUUAAGUUUUCCAUUUCACGUAUACAUACGAUGUCUUUUGACCAAGAAAGUCUUUAGCUAUUCAAUAAUACUAUUAACAUAAUAUGAACUAUUAUCACUGGCUUUUAGGUAUACAAAUUGUUUCAUUAGUUUAAUUUUGUGAAUCAGCCAACUAUAACACAAUGCUUUUGAACAUAUUAUUGAUUAGAAUAGGUAAUGUGUACCUCUCGUUCUUGUCCCACUGCUUUAAAUAGAACAAAAUAAUAUGUCCUAGUGAACAUUCAGAUUUCUUUCCACUGUGUACCACGGCUCUGGGGUUCUCAUUCCUGCACCCACAGGUAUAGGCCAGUCGCCCCUGCUUAUUGAAAGAUCUGUUCUGCCUUUUAAAAACAAAAAUCAUACAAUCUAACAAAUAUCCCAACAUCUUAAGCAUGUUUUCGUCAGGGGAGUCCAUGAGUCUCCCAAAACAACACAAGCUACUGCUGCUAACCUUGUUUGCCUCCCAGAAGAUGAAGGUGAUCUCCAUUGCCAAAGACACCAUUCAUGUCUAACACUGGACUUGACUCAGAGGAUCCAAGCUGGAUCCGAUCUGAAAGCUUCUUUCUGUGGGGACCAGAUUUCUUGGUACUGGACAGUGCCAUACAAACUGCUAUGGAAGUGAAGUAACCAAUAGUCCUACCUGGCUGUGAUGCCUAUGAGCCACAACAGCAAGCAUUGCAAGAUAAGCCCUAAGUGAAGGCAUAACGGUGGCACACACAUAUAUGUGUUAACCACUGCAGUGGUUUGAAUAGGAAUGGCCCCCAGAAACUCAUGUAUUUAGACGCUUAGUCAUAAGGGAUUAGCACUACUGGAUAGGAAUUAGGAGGUGUGGCCUCGUUGUAAUAGGUGUGUCACUGGGGGUGGGCUUUGAGGUUUCAGAAGUUCAAACCAGGCCCAGUGGCUCUCUCUCUCUCUCUCUCUCUCUCUCUCUCUCCUGCCUGCUGAUGCAGAUGUAGAACUCUUGGCCCCUUGUCUAGCAGCAUCUCUGCUGACAUGAGUGCUUUCCAUGCUCCUCACCAUGACAAUAAUGGACUAACCCUCUGAACCUGUCAGCCAACCCCAAUUAAAUGUUUGCCUUUGUAAGAGUUGCCAUGGUCAUGGUGUCUCUUCACAGCCAUAGAACAUUGACUAAAACACCAGCAAUGCUGACUUUGACAGGGAAGAACUACGAGACUUGGAUUCCAGGAAGGAGCAGCCAUCAAGGAAGUGGGCUCUAAGCCUUGCUGAACUGUGCUGCCACAGGACCGUGAGAUUCUAUAUGAAAACCUGGGUGAGUCUAGUGACCCUUUUAGUCAUUUUAAUCCCAGGUAUAGGGAUGUGGGGCUGCUUUGGACUGUCAGCAGCGACUGACCAUAAUUUGCCUCAUGCUCUAGCAGAGGCAUGGUUUUGCCAGCUGCAGAUAAUUUCUGUGAUUGGGUGAUGUUUGGAAUGCUGGGAACUUUUCAUAGUAUGUAGGUGCUUAGGGACCCAAGAGAAAGUUGGCAGUCAUGCAGGGGUGUUGGUGCUGGUUUGUUAGUAAUCGUGCUCAAAGAAGAAACAAACGAACAAAAAAGGAAAGUAGAUACAGUGAUCUGUCUCUGUCUCUGUCUCUGUCUGUCUGUCUGUCUGUCUCUCUCUCUCUCUCUCUCUCUCACACACACACACACACACACACACACACACACACACACACCUUUCUCUCCUAUCUAGUGAUAGGGGUUGAAUCUGGGGAGAUGAAGGAUAAGAAUCACUACAGAUGAAGGAUGAGAAAAAUAAGAAGCCACAACGUAGCAAAGAUUGGCUAUCGUUGAGCCUAACUAUUCUGUGACUUCUUACAGGAAUGAGUAUAAUAAAUUGGCAUGGUUUAAAACUCAACUGUGGUAAUUUACUACUACAGCAAUAAUAAAUGAUACAGUUAACUUCACAGAAGCAGCUGGCUUGCCUGGCUCCCGACCCAUAUACGCAUGAUCCAGCUCACAUGUAGACACCUGGUCUGACACAGUGUGAGUGGGGUUUUCAGAGCUUAUGUCAUUAUCACACUGGGAUCAGGAAUCAAAGCAUCAUAAUUAAAGAUAGUAGACUGGUCCACAUUGAUAGAAAGGCCAUAAUCUAAAUGAGGACUUGUGAGAUUCACCAAGCCUGUACAGGAGGAAGUUGCCCCUAAUCCUCUUAGACAGGGUUUCUGCAGCCACAAGUUUCUUUUUUUUAAUUGGAUAGUUUGUGUAUUUACAUUUCAAAUGUUAAAUGUAACAUGUAAUGUUAAAUGCUAUGUAAUUAAAUGUAAUGUUAAUGUUAAAUGUAAUCUCCCUUCUAUGAGUGUGCUCCCCCUCCUACCUACCCACUCCUACCUCAACACCCUGCCAUUCUCCUACACUGGUACUUCAAGCCUUCACAGGACCAAGGGCUUCUCCUCCUAUGGAUGCCAGACAAUGCCAUCCUCUGCUACAUAUGCAGCUGGAGACAUGGGUCCCCCAUGUGUCCUCUUUGGUGGUGGCUUUGUCACAAGUCCCUCAGGCAAGAACUGCUAACUGACAAGCACAGCCUGGCACCUGGGCAGAGAGUAUAUUAAUGUAUACUAUGUUACUGUAUACUACAUUAAUGUAUACUAUGUUACCAUAUACUACAUUAACAUAUCUAUGUUACCAUAUACUACAUUAAUGUAUACUAUGUUACCGAAUACUACAUUAAUGUAUACUAUGUUACCAUAUACUACAUUAACAUAUAUUAUGUUACUGUAUACUACAUUAACAUAUACUAUGUUACCAUAUACUACAUUAAUGUAUACUAUGUUACUGUAUACUACAUUAAUGUAUACUAUGUUACUGUAUACUACAUUAACGUAUACUAUGUAACUGUAUACUACAUUAACGUAUACUAUGUUCCAUAUACUGCCACUGGAAUGGACAGGACUACUUGAAUUGAAGCAGAGCAUUCUCCAGUUGGUUCCUAUUCUCUACUUCUGAAGAACAAACCUCCACUUUUUCGGAGCCCUCAUUGUUGGGGAGUAAAAUCAUCAUGACAUAGAAAAGUGUUUGCUCCACAACCACAACGGCCUGCCUGGGCUCUGAUCCCCUGCAACAGAGAAGCCACCCAAAACAUUAGAGUCUGCCUCUACCCCACUUUACCCAUGCAGUCCAGCACAACGUUUAAAAUGCCAUUCAUAUCCCUGCUCUGACUUGGUCCCAGAGUUCCUUUUCUUUUUCUUUUUUCUUUUUUUCGGAGCUGGGAACCGAACCCAGGGCCUUGGGCUUGGUAGGCAAGCGCUCUACCACUGAGCUAAAUCCCCAACCCCCCAGAGUUCCUUUCCAUUGUACCUUUCUACAGAAACUGCAAGUCACAGUUCCGUCUUCGUGGCAUACACCAAUGAGCUUUAAAUUCUGACAAUUUUAGGAGGUAGCUCUAUGGAUAAAGCACUUGUCGCACAGGCAUGAGGAGCUGAUUUGUUUUUAGAUUCUACGUGAGUGAUGGCACUAAGCUGGACCUCACUUAUUUCUCUAAGCAUAGUGAUUUCCGGCUCCAUCUGUGCCUUUGCAAUGUCAGGAUGUAACACUUCUAUGACCGCUUAAUCUUCCAUUCAGUACACGGGCCAUCUUUUCCUUAUUCAUUCACUUAGUGAGCACUUAGGUUUUCUCCAGCACAGACUUGAUUAAAGUUGCAUAACGCUUCCUUUAAAGGAAGCAUCAGAAGUCAGACAGACAGGCAAGUGCCCUGAAGAGGGUGAGUGUAAUUUUCACUCAGGAUCCUCUAUGACUGGUCUCAAGUAUCUAUGUGAAGGAGGUUUCAGCUUCUGUAAGACUUACUAUUGAGGAAGUAGAAAGAAAUUAAGUCACAGCUCCCUACUCCCAAACCCUGUGGGAGAGAGAGCUGAUCGCCUAGACGUGUGGGUAAUCCUGAGACUGCAAGGCAGGAGAGACCACCACUUUUGCCCACAUUUGCCCACAUCCUUGGCACAAGAGGAAACUGUAUAGGGCCUCUGGGCACAGGAUGAUAGGAGCAGUCAAGCUGCAAGAGCCCUGAGGUCCAGACUGCACCUGGAACUGAACGGACCCAGUCAAAUAGCUCCCUGCACCCAAAUCCCAUGGGAGGGAGAGCUAGACCUUCAGAGGGGCAAACAUGCCUGGGAAACCAGAGGAGACUACUCUCUGUCCAGAUUUCUGAUUCUAGAAGAAAAUGCCUAGCACCAUCUGAGCCCCCUGUGCACAGGGACCCAGGAGAAGGAGGGGCAGACCCUUCUGGUUACUGCCCACGGAAACAGCAGAAAGUCAGUGGACAGGAACUACUACACGCCUGAGAGCAGAACACUUUGUUCCCAUAACUGGCUGAAAGAAAACAGGAAAACAGAUCUACAGCACUCCUGACACACAGGCCUAUAGGAAGGUCAAGCACUGUCAGAAAUAGCAAAACCAGGUAACACCAGAGACAACCUGAUGGCGAGAGGCAAGCGCAGGAACCCAAGUAAGAGAAACCAAGACUAUAUGGCAACAUCAGAGCCCAAUUCUCCCACCAAAGCAAACACUGAAUAUCCAAACACACCAGAAAAGCAAGAUCUACAUUGAAAAUUACAUUUGAUCAUGAUGAUGGAAGACUUUAAGAAAGACAUGAAGAACUCUCUUAGAGAAAUGCAGGAAAACACAAGUAAACAAGCAGAAGCCCUUACAGAGGAAACACAAAAAUCCCUGAAAGAAUUACAGGAAAACAGAGGUGAAGGAAUUGAAAAUGGAAAUAGAAACAAUAAAGAAAGCACAAAGGGAGACAACCCUGGAAACCAAUUACAGAAAACCAAAGGAAGAGACAAGGAGCUGUAGAUACAAGAAUCACAAACAGAAUACAAGACAUAGAAGAGAGAAUCUCAGGAGCAGAAGAUUCCAUAGAAAUCAUCGACUCAACUGUCAAAGAUAAUGUUAAACGGAAAAAGAUACUAGCCCAAAACAUACAGGAAAUCCAGGACUCAAUGAGAAGAUCAAACCUAAGGACAAUAGAUACAGAAGAGAGUGAAGACUCCCAACUCAAAGGACCAAUAAAUAUCUUCAACAAAAUCAUAGAGGAAAACUUCCCUACCUAAAGAAAGAGAUGCCAAUAAACAUACAAGAAGCCUACAGAACUCCAAAUAGACUGGACUAGAAAAGACACUCCUCCCGUCACAUAAUAGUCAAAACACCAAAUGCACAAAACAAAGAUAAAAUAUUAAAAGCAGUAAGGGAAAAAGGUCAAAUAACAUAUAAAGGCAGACCUAUCAGAAUUAUACCAAACUUCUCACCAGAGACUAUGAAAGGCAGAAGAUCCUGGACAGAUAUCAUAUAGAACACAAAUGGCAGCCCAAGUAUCCAGCAAAACUCUCAAUUAACAUAGAUGGAGAAACCAAGAUAUUCCAUGACAAAACCAAAUUUACACAAUAUCUUUCUACAAAUCCACCCUAUAAAGGAUAAUAAAUGGUAACGCACAACACAAGGAGGCAAGCUACAUCCUAGAAAAAGCAAGAAACUAAUCGUUUUGCAAAAAAAACAAAGAGAAGACAAGCACACAAACAUAAUCUCACCUCCAAAUAUGAAGAUAAGACAGAGCAACAAUCACUAUUCCUUAAUAUCUCUCAACAUCAAUGGACUGAAUUCCCCAAUAAAAAGACAUAGAUUAACAAACUGGAUACACAAUGAGCACCCAGCAUUUUGCUGCCAACAGGAAACACACCUCAGAGACAAAGACAGACACUACCUCAGAAUAAAAGACUGAAAACAACUUUCCAAGCAAAUGGUCGGAAGAAGAAAGCUGGAGUAUCCAUUCUAAUUUCGAAUAAAAUCGAAUUUCAACUAAAAGUCAUCAAAAAGGAUAAAGAAGGACACUUCAUACUCAUCAAAGGAAAAAUCCACCAAGAUGAACUCUCAAUCCUAAAUAUCUAUGCUCCAAAUACAAGGGCACCUACAUACAUAAAAGAAACCUUACUAAAGCUCAAAGCACACAUUGCACCUCACACAAUAAUAGUAGGAGAUUUCAACACCCCACUCUCAUCAAUGGACAGAUCAUGGAAACAGAAAUUAAACAGAGACAUAGACAGACUAAGAGAAGUCAUGAACCAAAUGGACUUAACAGGUAUUUAUUGAACAUUCUAUCCUUAAACAAAAGGAUAUACCUUCUUCUUACCACCUCAUGGUAUUUUCUCCAAAAUUGACCAUAUAAUCAGUCAUAAAACAGGCCUCAACAGAUUCAGAAAGAUAGAAAUAAUCCCAUGCGUCCUAUCAGAACACCACGGGCUAAAACUGGUCUUCAAUAACAAUAAGGAAAGAAUGCCCACAUAUACAUGGAAGUUGAACAAUGCUCUACUCAAUGAUAACCUGGUCAGGAAGAAAUAAAGAAAGAAUUAAAGACUUCUCAACAUAGCCAAACUUAUGGGACACAAUGAAAGCUGUGCUAAGAGGAAAAUUCAUAGCGCUGAGUGCCUGCAGAAAGAAACAGGAGAGAGCAUAUGUCAGCAGCUUGACAGCACAUCUAAAAGCUCUAGAACAAAAAGAAGCAAAUACACCCAGGAGGAGUAGAAGGCAGGAAAUAAUCAAACUCAGAGCUGAAAUCAACCAAGUAGAAACAAAAAGGACCAUAGAAAGAAUCAACAGAACCAAAAGUUGGUUCUUUGAGAAAAUCAACAAGAUAGAUAAACCCUUAGCCAGACUAACGAGAGGACACAGAGAGUGUGUCCAAAUUUACAAAAUAAGAAAUGAAAAGGGAGACAUAACAGCAGAAUAAGAGGAAAUUCAAAAAAUCAUCAGAGCCUACUACAAAAGCCUAUAUUCACCAAAACUUGAAAAAUCUGGAGGAAAUGGCAAAUUUCCUAGACAGAUACCAGCUACCAA
Molecule: non-coding RNA, 22371 nt
Organism: Rattus norvegicus (Norway rat)
Lineage: Eukaryota; Metazoa; Chordata; Mammalia; Rodentia; Muridae
Source: RefSeq, a predicted model, not a curated record